UAGGGAAUAUUGGACAAUGGCCGAAAGGCUGAAGCAGCAACGCCGCGUGGAGGAAGAAUGGCUUUUGCUUGUAAACUCCUGUAUGAGGGGGAAAAAUCUCGCCUUUGGCGAGGAUGAUGGUACCCUCGGAGUAAGCCCCGGCUAACUACGUGCCAGCAGCCGCGGUAAUACGUAGGGGGCAAGCGUUGUCCGGAUUUAUUGGGUGUAAAGGGUGCUCAGGCGGAUUUGUAAGUCAGAGGUGAAAUCUCCCGGCUCAACCGGGAAACUGCCUUUGAUACUGCAAGCCUUGAGUUUGGAAGAGGAUGAUGGAAUAUCUGGUGUAGCAGUGAAAUGCGUAGAUAUCAGAUAGAACACCAAUGGCGAAGGCAGUCAUCUGGUCCAUAACUGACGCUAAAGCACGAAAGCGUGGGUAGCAAACAG
This 420-nucleotide ribosomal RNA is filed under the name uncultured bacterium. RNAcentral's name for it is "bacterial SSU rRNA". It matches the Rfam family "Bacterial small subunit ribosomal RNA", at positions 355 to 775 of the family's 1533-position model. The record is from RNAcentral.